Molecule: transfer RNA, 77 nt
Filed under: Candidatus Aerophobetes bacterium Ae_b3a
Lineage: Bacteria; Candidatus Aerophobota
Also listed under: 1 other name
Description: tRNA-Arg
Rfam family: tRNA
About the family: Transfer RNA (tRNA) molecules are approximately 80 nucleotides in length. Their secondary structure includes four short double-helical elements and three loops (D, anti-codon, and T loops). Further hydrogen bonds mediate the characteristic L-shaped molecular structure. tRNAs have two regions of fundamental functional importance: the anti-codon, which is responsible for specific mRNA codon recognition, and the 3' end, to which the tRNAs corresponding amino acid is attached (by aminoacyl-tRNA synthetases). tRNAs cope with the degeneracy of the genetic code in two manners: having more than one tRNA (with a specific anti-codon) for a particular amino acid; and 'wobble' base-pairing, i.e. permitting non-standard base-pairing at the 3rd anti-codon position.
Source: RNAcentral
GCGCUUGUAGCUCAAUUGGAUAGAGCAUCGGAUUGCGGAUCCGAAGGCUGGGGGUUCGAGUCCCCCUGAGCGCGCCA